AACUUGAUCUUUAAUAAGCUCCUAAAGCAAGAAAAAUUGAGGUAAAAUUAAGGAACCCAAAUAAAAAACUCUGUUACAGGGUGGAGGGUUUUGAAGUAGCACUUCUCAAAAUGAAGCCCGAGUACAGUACUUAGAAACAUGGACUAGCUAAGGGAUGGGUCUGCCAGGAAAUGCAUUCAUUCCAAUUUUUGCAACAUAGCAAAAUAAAUAAUUGUGAAAAAUGAAAACACUUGAAGUAAUGAUCACCUG
Molecule: unclassified non-coding RNA, 249 nt
Filed under: Hevea brasiliensis (rubber tree)
Lineage: Eukaryota; Viridiplantae; Streptophyta; Magnoliopsida; Malpighiales; Euphorbiaceae
Source: RNAcentral